RNAcentral lists this ribosomal RNA (515 nucleotides) under uncultured bacterium. RNAcentral describes it as "partial 16S ribosomal RNA". It matches the Rfam family "Bacterial small subunit ribosomal RNA", at positions 28 to 523 of the family's 1533-position model. The record is from RNAcentral.
GAUGAACGCUGGCGGCGUGCCUAAUACAUGCAAGUCGAGCGAAUGGAUUAAGAGCUUGCUCUUAUGAAGUUAGCGGCGGACGGGUGAGUAACACGUGGGUAACCUGCCCAUAAGACUGGGAUAACUCCGGGAAACCGGGGCUAAUACCGGAUAACAUUUUGAGCCGCAUGGUUCGAAAUUGAAAGGCGGCUUCGGCUGUCACUUAUGGAUGGACCCGCGUUGCAUUAGCUAGUUGGUGAGGUAACGGCUCACCAAGGCAACGAUGCGUAGCCGACCUGAGAGGGUGAUCGGCCACACGGGGACUGGGACACGGCCCAGACUCCUACGGGAGGCAGCAGUAGGGAAUCUUCCGCAAUGGACGAAAGUCUGACGGAGCAACGCCGCGUGAGUGAUGAAGGCUUUCGGGUCGUAAAACUCUGUUGUUAGGGAAGAACAAGUGCUAGUUGAAUAAGCUGGCACCUUGACGGUACCUAACCAGAAAGCCACGGCUAACUACGUGCCAGCAGCCGCCGUAA